GUGUCAGCCGCCGCGGUAAGACGUAGGGUCCGAGCGUUGUCCGGAUUUACUGGGCGUAAAGAGCGCGUAGGCGGAUCGUUAAGUGUGAAGUGAAAUCUCCAGGGCUCAACCCGGAAACUGCUUCGCAUACUGGCGAUCUGGAGGAAUGGAGAGGUGAGUGGAAUUCCUGGUGUACCGGUGAAAUGGGUAGAUAUCAGGAGGAACACCCAUGGCGAAGGCAGCUCACUGGCCAUUAUCUGACGCUGAGGCGCGAAAGCGUGGGUAGCAAACAGGAUUAGAUACCCUCGUAGUCC
RNAcentral lists this ribosomal RNA (293 nucleotides) under uncultured bacterium. RNAcentral describes it as "partial 16S ribosomal RNA". It matches the Rfam family "Bacterial small subunit ribosomal RNA", at positions 505 to 796 of the family's 1533-position model. The record is from RNAcentral.